This 407-nucleotide long non-coding RNA is filed under the name Lupinus angustifolius (narrow-leaved blue lupine). Its description in RNAcentral is "long non-coding RNA (LANG_LNC003723)". The record is from RNAcentral. Lineage: Eukaryota; Viridiplantae; Streptophyta; Magnoliopsida; Fabales; Fabaceae.
GCUCAACUAUUUUACGUAUACUUUGAAAUUCUUCAUUAUUGUUGCCAUUGCAAGUAAAGAGAGAGGCACAAUAGACUCCUACUAAACAUCAUGUCACUAUCUCAGUUCAGAUUGCUUUAAGCUAAAAGUUGAAAAAGUAUCGGUAACUCAGCAAGAUGAUACCAUGAACAUCAUCAUACGCAACCUUGCCCAAGAUUUCUCUUACCUCACUGGUUUCAAACCAGACAUCAGGGUUGGUUAUCCCUGCAUAUCUAUAGUAUCCUUGAAAUCAAGUAAAUUAAUCCAUAAAAUAUCAAGCAAGAUUAAACCAGGUCCAAAGAGAAACAAGAGAGGCAUGGUAUAGAGAACAACUUUUAGUAAAAUUAACAAAAUGUAUAUGUCUGUAAUAUAGAAAAACAAUAACAAAU